This 172-nucleotide ribosomal RNA is filed under the name uncultured bacterium. RNAcentral's name for it is "partial 16S ribosomal RNA". It matches the Rfam family "Bacterial small subunit ribosomal RNA", at positions 335 to 524 of the family's 1533-position model. The record is from RNAcentral.
ACUCCUACGGGAGGCAGCAGUGGGGAAUUUUGGACAAUGGGCGCAAGCCUGAUCCAGCCAUGCCGCGUGAGUGAUGAAGGCCUUAGGGUUGUAAAGCUCUUUUGGCGGGGACGAUAAUGACGGUACCCGCAGAAUAAGCCCCGGCUAACUUCGUGCCAGCAGCCGCGGUAAU